Molecule: ribosomal RNA, 478 nt
Filed under: uncultured bacterium
Lineage: Bacteria
Description: bacterial SSU rRNA
Rfam family: Bacterial small subunit ribosomal RNA
Source: RNAcentral
ACGAACGCUGGCGGCGUGCUUAACACAUGCAAGUCGAGCGGUAAGGCCUUUCGGGGUACACGAGCGGCGAACGGGUGAGUAAUGCAUCGGAACGUGCCCGAUCGUGGGGGAUAACGCAGCGAAAGCUGCGCUAAUACCGCAUACGAUCUGAGGAUGAAAGCGGGGGAUCGCAAGACCUCGCGCGGACGGAGCGGCCGAUGGCAGAUUAGGUAGUUGGUGGGAUAAAAGCUUACCAAGCCGACGAUCUGUAGCUGGUCUGAGAGGACGACCAGCCACACUGGGACUGAGACACGGCCGAGACUCCUACGGGAGGCAGCAGUGGGGAAUUUUGGACAAUGGGCGAAAGCCUGAUCCAGCCAUGCCGCGUGCAGGAUGAAGGCCUUCGGGUUGUAAACUGCUUUUGUACGGAACGAAAAAGUCUUCUCUAAUACAGGGGGCGAAUGACGGUACCGUAAGAAUAAGCACCGGCUAACUACGU